AGCAGUGAGGAAAUGCCAGGGGUUGUGCUGCUCUUCACCACGAGCUGAGCCUCCAAGGGACAGUGAGGGGCAGAGGUGUGAGCCCACCUGGGCACGGGGAGAUGGAGUUCGUGGGCUGAUGCCCUGAGACCUGGUGAGCUGCUUUCAGUUUUGGUGCUUGGAACAACAGCUCUGCAGUGACUGCAGUUGCUAUCGAGCAAGCCUGCAGGCACCUGUGGCUCUUCACCAUCAGAGAGAUUGCCAGGGUUGCCUGUGAGACAUCAGCCACUGCACUGCAACAAAGCCUGAAAAGAACAGGAAAGGCUCUGAGAUCUGCUGGGGAAGGUGCUUGUGCUCAUCACCAGAGGAGCAUUUUGAGAUGCUGACAGCACAGUGACCCUACCAACAACACACAAUCUUCAUCGCACUGUCUUUGUGCUUGGAUGCCAGGGAAAAUGUCCAGAACAGGCUUUUGUCUCAGCUCUCUGGCCUCAUGCCACAGUGACGGAUGCUUUUGGAAGCUGAGAUAGGGCUUUGCUUGUAUCUGAACCUGCAGCCACUUAGAGCUUACAGAUUCCCAGUCUCACAAGUUGAUACUCCUUGUCCUGAACCAUACCUGCAUCAAGUACAUCUCAAGUUCCUUCCCCAUAUAGCUUAGGAAGUGAUUCCUGGGCUAUGAUUUUGAAGAGAAAGCUGGUCAAGGGAAGUUAGCAUCUCUUUCUUAUAGUUUGUUGCUUCCACAGCUUCUCCGGGGGGGGGGAGAACACAUCUGGAACAGCACACCUUGUAGGGCUCAGUCACUCCCAGCCUGUCAUACUUCAUCCUCUGUGACAUCACAGCUUUCGAAGAGGAUGAGGAAAGAAGAAGAAUCGCAGCCUUCAACGAUUCUGGAUGAACCGCAUCCAGCUCUGGCAUCCCAGUGAUCUGCCCCAUCAGCAGUUCUGGUAAAACCCCCUAUAGCCUGGGAAGUAAGCCAGUGUGGAAGGCAGGUAUGGAAUCUGUAAGGGGAAUUGGGCAGAGCAUGUAGGAAUUAGGAAGAGGUACAGCACAGCCCUUGGGAGCACCAACAAAAACCAACAAACAAUAAAAGUUGGGUUUGUUAAUCAAAGACUUUAAAAACGAGUCUUCAUAAAUGAGUCUUCAUUCAUAUGGUUCAGUCUCCAUGACAUUACCAAGGAGUCUGGAAAGGGAGCAGAUGAGGAUGUGGGGACCAGGAGGGAUGCUCUUUUGCCCGUAAGAUGGUCACAGGAUGUCAUUUAUCAGCUGGUGACGAAAGCAGAUGUUUUUCUUUAGGAGUAACAUAUGCUUUCUCAUAUGGAGAAUUGCAGCUCCGAAGCUGCUGUAGAAUCCCUUCCGUCUUAAUCUCUCUUUUCUUUCCUUCUCUCCCUUAGCUCUUCAAGGUAGCAGUACUGCCAGCCUCAGCAUUCCUGAAUCAUGACUCAGGAAUGAUGAGAUGAAGGAACCUGAGGGUUUGCUUAUGCCCCUAGAACAGGACCCAUGCUGGUUCUUGCUUGGCCAGUUCUUUGCCCACCCUUCUGUCUCAAAUCUCCUUGCUCGGUUAUCUGAGUGCUCUUCCUGCUCUUUGGUCUAUCACAGCUUAUUCUUUCCUAUCUCCAGGAAGGAUUGUUACACCCUUCCCACCACUUUUAGCUCCCCUUUUCUCCUCAUGUCAUUGGCUCCUUACAGCUCCCAAGCCUAGUGUGCUUGUUCAACAUGCCCAUCUUCCCUUUCUCUAGGCCCUGCUUCCACUACAGCUAUUAGUCUUGACCCUUUUUUAACCCCGUGUGCUCUGACUUUCAAACUAGUCAUGUUUUUCACCCAGUCAAGGCUCUUUUCUCCCACUUCCACCGUUCAUUUUCCAGUACCUCCUGUCUUAAUCCCCACACCAGUUCUAGUGUCAUUACGCUCCUUGCCCUCAUCUAUUUCCUGUGCUUUCCAUCCCCAACGGACUUAACUGUCCUCCUUUCACUGAGCUGCUUCUCCUUCACCCUGAGUAGUGUCACCCUGACACAAGGACGACUCUCCUUCAUGCACUUCAGCUUCCUCCAAAGCAGCUGGGCUGGAGCUGUUCAUAGUAAAGGGCUAUUCUUUUUAACAUAUAGUUCAAUGGUCUAAACCAAAAUGUGUUUUCCUUUUUUUUCCCCUAAGUAAAUUAAAUUAAGCCAUAUUUUAAAAGAAAAGAAUAUAUAAAAAAUCAGAUGUAGGCAGACAGCCAAAUGGAAAAUUUCAGCUCCUAUCAUAAAAGUUAUGAGCCACUCAAUGUUUUAGAGUGGGAAUGCCCAGACAGCCUAAUUCCAGCUCUGCUGUUAAGUUUCUCCUUCCAAAAAGCUGCAGUUUGAACUUGCCACUCUGGGAUCAGUCACUUCACUGUUUCUCAUAGCUUCAGAAUAAGGCGGGAACACAGCAUUUGCUUUGCUUUAGAUCAUGCCUUCUCAGAAGCUUUGUCUGAAUUGUAAGGCAGAUGGAGACAUGACGUCUGAUAGCUGGAAACCUUUACCGUUACUUUACACUCAAAGCCUGCAAUUUUUCUGUGGGAAGAGAGAAGGGCAAACCUGGAACAUGGAGUUUUGCAUAUGGUUGGUCUGUUAGCAUUGUCACCAGUGUAAAUAAACCCAUUUUGAAACAGUCUUGUUACACCUCUAAAAAUUACUAAUGUGGACAUGUUCAAGCCUCGCCUAAGAUGUGUGGACUGGCUGCAAGCGGUGGACAUGUUGUGCCCAAUCUCGAUGUUUUAGUAUUAGAAGAUAGUGUUUAUGAUGAGUGCAGGCCAUGAUCCCAAGUCAGCAAGUGCCUAAGUGGAACUCGACACGAACCGAGGAGGAAGAAAGCCGUGGGUAAAGAAGCAAAAGUAACAGUGCAAGCAAGAUGAGAAGAAACUGGAAUGAGCUAAGACACAACAGUGAACUGUGAGCAUGUUUUAGAGACUAGGCUCCCAUAGGCUUAAUGUAACCAAUUGCAUACUAGUUGCUGUGUGCUACACUGUAUAUGUAUCUACUAAUAGGGCAAGCGAUUGAUUAUGUAUCCUGUCUUAAUACAGACAGUUAUUGUGUAUGUACCCAAGUAUAAUACACCAAGCUAUUGUAAGGAGAUGCAGACAACAGUAUAAAAAGGAUAGAUGCUUUGUAAUAAACAGCAUUCACUCGAUCACAUUGCUCAUUUCAGCGUUGUCCGUAACUCCAGCAUCGCAACAAAGAUGGACCAUUUCAAACUGGUGUAAUUAAUUUGGUGAGUUCCUAAGUAAAGGACGAGGAACCUGUUAAAUUAGUGCAAUAAACCAGAGAGCCUCUGGGCUGGUGUGGCUCACUGCCUGGCACACUAAUGACACUUCCGUGCCUGCCUGCAGCAUGCAGGUGCCCAGGGCAGCUAUGGCCCCUGCAGCAAUACAGCUCCCGCUCCCCAGGGCAGCACUUGCAAUGUGUCUCUGUGAAAGGUGCAAGAUGAAAACUGCACAGCACAGGACCUGCUGUGGGGGCUGAGGACUGGAGGAGGGGAAGGAGGGCUGCAGAGAGGAGGAAACCAGCAGCGCAGGCAGGCCCUGAAAAGUGGGGUGCCCUGGCAGGGCUGAGGUUGGACGAGAUUCCUUAAUUCAGACCUCCUCCUCCUGAGGCUGUUGUGGCAUCAAGUGCUGGACUUCACACUGAAGCAGGUAUCAAGCAUGCACAAUUUGUGCUCUUCACUAGGGCUGAGAGAUAAACAACUACUACUGCACUAGGUCAGCUGUGGACAGCCAGGGGACAAGAGCACCGAACCUGCGAUGAUUCCCACCAAGUGAGGAGCGCAUGUGCCCAAACCACAGAUCUAUCCAACUGAAGCCACGCUCAGAGCAGUUGAAGUUCCUCCUCUGAAUUAGGUGUUCUUGGUGUUUUACUAAGCAGCUGUAACAUCGAUCUAAAUGUGUCACGUGCAGAUGGUGUAGUACGGACCACACGUUGCAGACUAAAGCUCUGUGUUAGCUCAGCUUUACACAGCCUUGCUUGUGCCUUCAGCAAAA
Melopsittacus undulatus (budgerigar) is the source of this 3970-nucleotide RNA transcript. It is a transcript of the gene named lysophosphatidic acid receptor 5, with no coding region annotated. The record is from RefSeq and is a predicted model, not a curated record. The transcript has 3 exons. NCBI's taxonomy places the organism in Eukaryota, Metazoa, Chordata, Aves, Psittaciformes, Psittaculidae.